This 440-nucleotide ribosomal RNA is filed under the name uncultured bacterium. RNAcentral's name for it is "partial 16S ribosomal RNA". It matches the Rfam family "Bacterial small subunit ribosomal RNA", at positions 338 to 795 of the family's 1533-position model. The record is from RNAcentral.
CCUACGGGUGGCAGCAGUGAGGAAUAUUGGGCAAUGGAGGCAACUCUGACCCAGCCAUGCCGCGUGAGUGAAGAAGGUUUUCGGAUUGUAAAGCUCUUUCAGAUGUGACGAUAAUGACGGUAGCAUCUAAAGAAGCCGCGGCUAACUUCGUGCCAGCAGCCACGGUAAUACGAAGGGGGCAAGAGUUGUUCGGAUUUACUGGGCGUAAAGGGUGUGUAGGCGGUGUAGUAAGGUUGUGGUGAAAUCCCAGAGCUUAACUUUGGAAUUGCCAUUAUAACUAUUAGACUAGAAUGACAGAGAGGUUAGCGGAAUACCCAGUGUAGAGGUGAAAUGCGUAGAUAUUGGGUAGAACACCAGUGGCGAAGGCGACUAUCUGGCUGUACAUUGACGCUGAGGCUCGAAAGCAUGGGGAUCAAACAGGAUUAGAUACCCUUGUAGUC